CCCCCUGUCUGGAGUUCAUCAGGGCCCCCCCUGUCUGGGGGUCGACGGAAUAACGAGGAGGUUGAACCUUUCUGUCUAUCUAGCAUCAGAUCCCUUAACCUAGUUAACAUCUGAUUCCAGGACUGUGGUUAACGGGGGUCUAACCUCCACUAUGUAGACAGGAGUUAACAUCUGAUUCCAGGACUGUGGUUAACGGGGGGUCCUAACCUCCACUAUGUAGACAGGAGUUAACAUCUGAUUCCAGGACUGUGGUUAACGGGGGUCCUAACCUCCACUAUGUAGACAGGAGUUAACAUCUGAUUCCAGGACUGUGGUUAACGGGGGUCCUAACCUCCACUAUGUAGAGACAGGAGUUAACAUCUGAUUCCAGGACUGUGGUUAACGGGGGGUCCUAACCUCCACUAUGUAGAGACAGGAGUUAACAUCUGAUUCCAGGACUGUGGUUAACGGGGGGGGUCCCUAACCUCCACUAUGUAGAGACAGGAGUUAACAUCUGAUUCCAGGACUGUGGUUAACGGGGGUCUAACCUCCACUAUGUAGAGACAGGAGUUAACAUCUGAUUCCAGGACUGUGGUUAACGGGGGUCUAACCUCCACUAUGUAGACAGGAGUUAACAUCUGAUUCCAGGACUGUGGUUAACAGGGGGUCCUAACCUCCACUAUGUAGAGACAGGAGUUAACAUCUGAUUCCAGGACUGUGGUUAACAGGGGGUCCUAACCUCCACUAUGUAGAGACAGGAGUUAACAUCUGAUUCCAGGACUGUGGUUAACGGGGGUCCCUAACCUCCACUAUGUAGAGACAGGAGUUAACAUCUGAUUCCAGGACUGUGGUUAACGGGGGUCCUAACCUCCACUAUGUAGAGACAGGAGUUAACAUCUGAUUCCAGGACUGUGGUUAACGGGGGAUAAAUGUUGGUCUUUAAUGUCACUGUCGUAAUCAUCUUUUCUAUUGUUAUUACUACACUCUAAUCACUGUUCAUAUCAGCUGUCUGUCACUACACAGCCUGUCUGUCGUUGACCUGUCCUAGACUGUCUGUCUGGAACGGACCUGUCCUAGACUACACAACCUGUCUGUCUGUCUGGAACUGACCUGUCCUAGACUACACAACCUGUCUGUCUGUCUGUCUGGAACUGACCUGUCCUAGACUACACAACCUGUCUGUCUGUCACUGACCUGUCCUAGACUACACAACCUGUCUGUCUGUCUGUCUGGAACUGACCUGUCCUAGACUACACAACCUGUCUGUCUGUCACUGACCUGUCCUAGACUACACAACCUGUCUGUCUGUCUGUCUGGAACUGACCUGUCCUAGACUACACAACCUGUCUGUCUGUCUGGAACUGACCUGUCCUAGACUACACAACCUGUCUGUCUGUCUGGAACUGACCUGUCCUAGACUACACAACCUGUCUGUCUGUCUGUCUGUAACUGACCUGUCCUAGACAGGCCACCGUUGGGACACUUUACUAACCAACAGGGACGGCAGGACACCUGACAGACAAACUGUUGUUGUUUACGACUUGUCUUAUUGACUGUUAAAUGGAAAUUCAUUUUAACGCCUUUCUGUGUUUCUGGACCGUUUUAUAAGCUAAACCAUGUAGACUGGACCAGCAGACUGUUACCCUGUAGACUGGACCACCAGACUGUUACCCUGUAGACUGGACCACCAGACUGUUACCCUGUAGACUGGACCAGCAGACUGUUACCCUGUAGACUGGACCACCAGACUGUUACCCUGUAGACUGGACCACCAGACUGUUACCCUGUAGACUGGACCACCAGACUGUUACCCUGUAGACUGGACCAGCAGACUGUUACCCUGUAGACUGGACCAGCAGACUGUUACCCUGUAGACUGGACCAGCAGACUGUUACCCUGUAGACUGGACCAGCAGACUGUUACCCUGUAGACUGGACCAGCAGACUGUUACCCUGUAGACUGGACCAGCAGACUGUUACCCUGUAGACUGGACCACCAGACUGUUACCCUGUAGACUGGACCACCAGACUGUUACCCUGUAGACUGGACCAGCAGACUGUUACCCUGUAGACUGGACCAGCAGACUGUUACCCUGUAGACUGGACCAGCAGACUGUUACCCUGUAGACUGGACCACCAGACUGUUACCCUGUAGACUGGACCAGCAGACUGUUACCCUGUAGACUGGACCACCUACCCUGUAGACUGGACCACCAGACUGUUACCCUGUAGACUGGACCAGCAGACUGUUACCCUGUAGACUGGACCAGCAGACUGUUACCCUGUAGACUGGACCAGCAGACUGUUACCAUGUAGACUGGACCACCAGACUGUUACCAUGUAGACUGGACCACCAGACUGUUACCAUGUAGACUGGACCACCAGACUGUUACCCUGUAGACUGGUAUUACAGCUGAGACAGACAGGACCCUUUCUGAGGUUACUGGGCUUCACAGACAACAUUAUGACACUCCUUCCUGUCUGAAAGCGUCCCAUGUUCAGAUUUCUGUAUUAUUCCAAUGUUCUCACUCUCAUCUUUAUUUACACCUUAAUAUAUCUUGGGAGCUGCUUGUGUGCGGAUGGUAAUGCUAACCUGUUUCACAAUAUAAUUUAUAUCAUUUGUAUUAUUGUAACAUUAUAUUAUAUAUUGUGGUCUGUUUAUUCUGUCAUUCCUUCCUGGGUUUUAUAGGAUCAGUGUGGGGAGGGAGGGGCAUAUUUACACCAGUCUAAAACCCGCGGGGCGCCAGCUACACCUGGACCUGCUACGGACCAAUAAAAUGGAUCUCUUUAAGCGCUGA
This 2776-nucleotide long non-coding RNA is filed under the name Salmo salar (Atlantic salmon). Its description in RNAcentral is "lncRNA (ENSSSAG00000119765.1)". Lineage: Eukaryota; Metazoa; Chordata; Actinopteri; Salmoniformes; Salmonidae. The record is from RNAcentral.